CAUCGCCUCCUGCCCACUCAGCAUAGGAGGUCCCGCCUGCCCUGUGACCAAAAGUUUAACGGCCGCGGUAUUUUAACCGUGCAAAGGUAGCGCAAUCAAUUGUCUUUUAAAUGAAGACCUGUAUGAAUGGCAUAACGAGGGUUUAACUGUCUCUUUUUUCAGGUCAAUGAAACUGAUCUGUCCGUGCAGAAGCGGACAUAUUAACACAAGACGAGAAGACCCUAUGGAGCUUUAGACGCCCACCAACCGCGAAAAGCAGCCUACCUAAACAGAUGCUCUAAACAACGCGGUCCUGGUACAAACGUCUUCGGUUGGGGCGACCGCGGAGGAGAACAAAGCCUCCGAGAGGAAUGGGAACAAACCCUAGAACCAAGAGCCACAGCUCUAAGUCACAAAAAAUUUGACCGACAAUGAUCCGGCUUACUGCCGAUCAACGGACCAAGUUACCCUAGGGAUAACAGCGCAAUCCCCUCCCAGAGUCCAUAUCGACGAGGGGGUUUACGACCUCGAUGUUGGAUCAGGACAUCCUAAUGGUGCAGCCGCUAUUAAGGGUUCGUUUGUUCAACGAUUAAAGUCCUACGUG
This 583-nucleotide ribosomal RNA is filed under the name Sardinella aurita (round sardinella). RNAcentral's name for it is "partial 16S ribosomal RNA". It matches the Rfam family "Bacterial large subunit ribosomal RNA", at positions 1814 to 2602 of the family's 2925-position model. The record is from RNAcentral. Lineage: Eukaryota; Metazoa; Chordata; Actinopteri; Clupeiformes; Clupeidae.